RNAcentral lists this long non-coding RNA (200 nucleotides) under Ananas comosus (pineapple). RNAcentral's name for it is "long non-coding RNA (ACOM_LNC007233)". The record is from RNAcentral. Lineage: Eukaryota; Viridiplantae; Streptophyta; Magnoliopsida; Poales; Bromeliaceae.
UUGUUUACAUUAUGAGAGUAGAUGUUGUAUAGGGUGAGGUUUUGGAGAGUAUAUGAUGUAUUUACAUUUGGAAAGAAAAUGCAAGUUGUAUUAAAUGAUUAAAGUUUAAAUGAUAUCGAAAGAGGUUAAAUGUUUCAAUGAUGUCUCAAAUAGUUAAGUUUCUCUCUUUUGAAUACUUGUAUACUGUUUACUUGUAUCGC